GAUGAAGAACGUAGUGAAAUGCGAUACUUGGUGUGAAUUGCAGAAUCCCGUGAACCAUCGAGUUUUUGAACGCAAGUUGCGCCCGAAGCCUUUUGGCCGAGGGCACGUCUGCCUGGGCGUCACGCAUCGCGUCGCCCCCCACAAUUCUCCGUAAAGGGAACAUGUGUUUUGGGGGCGGAUAUUGGUCUCCCGUGCUCAUGGGGUGGUUGGCCGAAAUAGGAGUCCUUUCGAUGGACGCACGAACUAGUGGUGGUCGUAAAAACCCUCGUCUUUUGUUUCGUGCUGUUGGUCGCAAGGUAAACUCUUUAAAAACCCCAAUGUGUCGUCUCUUGACGACGCUUCGACCGCGACCCCAGGUCAGGCGGGACUACCCGCUGAGUUUAAGCAUAUCAAUAAGCGGAGGA
This 404-nucleotide unclassified non-coding RNA is filed under the name soil metagenome. Its description in RNAcentral is "partial contains 5.8S ribosomal RNA, internal transcribed spacer 2, and large subunit ribosomal RNA". The stretch from base 1 to 122 matches the Rfam family "5.8S ribosomal RNA", at positions 35 to 154 of the family's 154-position model. The record is from RNAcentral.